UUUAAUAUGGCAGAAUAGUGCAAUGGACUUAAACCCCAUUUAUAAAAUUAAAAUUUUUAUUAAAA
Molecule: transfer RNA, 65 nt
Filed under: Andrena chrysosceles
Lineage: Eukaryota; Metazoa; Arthropoda; Insecta; Hymenoptera; Andrenidae
Description: tRNA-Leu
Rfam family: tRNA
About the family: Transfer RNA (tRNA) molecules are approximately 80 nucleotides in length. Their secondary structure includes four short double-helical elements and three loops (D, anti-codon, and T loops).
Source: RNAcentral